Long non-coding RNA from Mytilus californianus (California mussel), 3790 nucleotides. RefSeq lists it as uncharacterized. The record is from RefSeq and is a predicted model, not a curated record. Lineage: Eukaryota; Metazoa; Mollusca; Bivalvia; Mytilida; Mytilidae. The transcript has 2 exons.
UCAAAUUUUAUAUUUAAAUUUUUUGAAUAGUACUAGUAAGAACUUAAAAGAUCAUUUGCAAAAGCAAUUUGAUGGUUAAACUUUAUAAAUGUAUAUAAUUUUUUUGGCUAUUUUUUUAUGGUUUUGAAAUUUGAUGAUGAGUACUUUUGAGUUCCAGUCCUAUUAUAAAGUUUAGCUGUAUUGUGUAUUUUUUUGACAUUUGAAUUGUAGACUUCAAUUUGAUCUCAUAAAUUAUUUAUAAUAUAUUUCCAGUAAGUAAAAGGAUAAGUAACAUACAUAACGUAAAGUCUGUAAAUGAAGUGAUAAUGGAUUUUUUUCAGAAAUCAGAUAAUGGAAAAAUUUGACUUUUGGCUAAUAAUGUAGAGCUCAAGCAUUGCCCAAAAUUAUAGUUCUGGCAGCAAUUAGAUCAUCACUUAAAACACUUCCUGUGUAAAUAUUUUUAGGGUGAUGGUUGUGAUCUAUUAUUAAUGCCUUAUCAAGUUUAAAUUUACAUAGACAAAAAAAAAUAUUAUGCUCUUUAAAGUUUCACCAUUUUUGUUAUGAAACGGAAAUGGUGUUGAUAAUAGAAGAAAAUAGUAACCUAAACACCUUAUCGCUAUUUAGUCCAAUCCGGAAAAAACAGUCAUCUAGACAACUUCCUGUUUGGGUCAAGUGUCACAAACACAAAGGUCAUCAGUAAUGAGCUGAGGGAGGAAAACGUUUUGAAAUUUGUAUAGUUAUGAUCCAAUUUUUUAAACACAAAUUAAAGUAAGAAAAAUGCUUUGUUUGAAGUAUUUACAAUGGUUUAAACAUAACUCUUUGAAAAUUUUUAUGCACAGUACAUUGUUUAAACAGGGCCCCAGAUGGCGUCAACUGGUUAGAAAGAGUUGUGUAAUUUCAGAACUUAUCAGAAUGGAAUAAAUAGCAAUAAGGUGUAUUGAAAGUUACAAAGAUUGACAAAGUACAUGUUGACAGCUUAUUGUAUCAAGCUAGUGUCAGCCAUUUAUGGAACAGGUUUGCCAUUUUCAUAUGACUUUGAUAUAUAAUGUAUGAAUGCUUUAUAUAUUUUAUUUGAUCUUUUAUAAUUCAUUUCAUGUGGCAUUUUAUAAAAAACAGUGCAAAAAGUGAAUUUUGUUGUGACUAUUUAAAUGAUUAAAAGCAGCUUUUUGUCUGUCAUAUUUUCAUUGGUGCAUUAUUAAAAUCAUCAACCAGUUAAACGAGAUCUUUUAUUGUUAACCAUCUCAAAUCAAGAACCAAUGAUAAGGCAGCUUUUUUUUAUCUGGCAUUUUAUUGGUGCACAUCACUCAUUUUUAACCAAUGGCCAGGCAGCAUUUUUAUUGGGCAUUUAGUUGGUGCAUCAUUAAUCCAUGAUUAUGUAUAUUGAUGAAAAUGCAUUAAUUAUUACUGUGUUUGAUAAAAUAAAAUACAUGUGUAUAUACAUAUUGAUAUACAACCCUUUUUCUUUAUCCAUAUCCCAUUAUAAUUUUUUCCAGAUUCAAUAAAAUAAUAUUAUUUCUCAAUAUCAUAUGCAAGAUAUAACCAUAAUAUACAGUGGCGGAUCCAGAAUUUUGUAUAAGUGGGGGGCCCGCUGACUGACCUAAGGGGGGCCCGCUCCAGUCAUGCUUCAGUGAUUCCCUAUAUAAUCAACCAAAUUUUUCCCACAAAAGGGGGGCCCCCCCUGGAUCCGCCUAUGAUAUAUGGGUGUUUCCUGUUUUCCCUUUGAUCAUCAACAAUGGUUAAUGUAUAGCAAUAAAAGUUAUGCACUGGUGCAUAUAUAACUUCAAAUUAUAUAGGUCAUCAGUGACAAUAAUAUUUUUUAAGCAAAUUUUGCUAAAAAUGUAGAGUUAUUGCAUGAAUAUUAUCCCUCGUAGGCCUCGGUGGCCAAGUGGUCUAAGUAGUUCUACUACUUUAAUCACUAGCCAGUCAACACUGAGGUUGUGAGUUCGAAUCCCGCUUGUGCGGGUGCACUCAACUCCAAUCUUAAUUGACUAGGAUUGUCAGUUUUCCUAUCGAAGGUCGUGGUUUUCUCCAGGCACUCCGGCUUCCUCCCCCAAUAAAAACUGGCCGCCACGAAAUAGCCCAAAUGUGGCGCUUAAUAGUUAAAACACCAACAAUCAAUCGUAGAAUUGUAUAGUAUUCACAAGCUCAUGCAAUACAAAAAUCUGCUGGGGACAUUAUUACAGUACUUAAUAUAUAAAGUUACAGCUAAUAUUAAAUAUAACCUGCUAUAAAAAGAUCCAAGCUUCUUUGUAUUUGGCCAAAAAUCUGUUAUUGUUUUAAUUAAUAAUUCCCUUUCCUUGUUAAUAGCAGAAAACUUACUUAUUAUUUUUUUUAAUUUAAUAAUUGAUUAAGGUAGAUCUGUUCUCUUUAUCGAUCUUUGAUAGUAAAGUAAAAUCUGUCUAGAUUUUUAAAUGUAAAAUGCACAUUUUUCAAAAAUGAUACAAUUAGUUUGAAUAAUUUUGAUCUGUUUUUGCAAAAAUAUUUUUAAACACUGCCAUAUAAGGGGAGAAACUCAGAUAAUCGUAAUUUUAUAAAGAAAUGUAAGUACAUUUACUUAUUUGUUUUGUUAACAAAAAAAAACAUCAAUUCAUAGGUCCUUUUGAUGUAUAACAACCAAUAAUUCCAGACCAAGAUUUUGAAAUGGAAGCUGUUACUAAAUUCUAGUAAAAAUUUAGUAUGAAUAAAAGGAGGUGCAGUGUAUAUACAAUGAGAUAUCAACCCAAUGACAAAAAUAAACCUCCGAAAAACUAGAUGGCAACAUAGUCUCCAGCAAUGGACAAGUGUCUAUACAAAUGUUUAGUACUUAACAGAAACAAAAUCAAAGCCAUUUAUACCCAAUUCCCAAAAUAAUGAAAAACAUUAAGGUCAAGGAUAUGUGAAUGGACUAUGUCACAGAUUUUGGUAAAAUUUUUAAAAUAGUUCAACAUUUGUACAGUAAGUACAAAACAAUCUAUUAAAAACAUGGUAAAAAAUUAUUGUUUGAAAAAAAAAAAUUUCUGAUCACCCACUCAAUAGAUUUUUCAUCAAAUUGAUAUGUUGUUGCCAGAUAAUUUCAGUACUGAUGAGGUAAAAUAAUUAUAGGGUCAACAACUUUGCUUUUUGGGUAAACAACAGUAAUGUGGUGUUCUUUGUGAAAAAAAUAAAGUUAACAUAUUCACAAUGUAAAGCCCUCCAACAGGGUUACAGGUUGGUUAAUACAUCAGAAACAAUGUGAGUGACUCGAUGAUUAUAUAAAUCAAUCAAAGCAAACAACAUGUCAACUUGAUGGGUUUUGGAGAUUUGAUUUUAAGACAAUUUUGAGAAUGUUUUUCAUCAUUAUGUACUUGCUAUGCAAAUGAACACCUAUUUUGAAAGAAUUUUAUUCAAUAAUAUUUCAGAAAAUAAAAUAUGUUAGUGCAUUACUUAUUUGCUUUUUUAGUUCAAGUUAACAUAGUAAAAUUAUAUGCAAAAUCAUUGACAUGGCCCAUUUCCUGUAAUGAAAUAAGCACUUGAUAAGUUUGGUGCAUCUUAAGAUAUGAAAACUACAGUGUAGGUUCCUGUCUUGGUUACAAAUGAUAUUUUAGUUUUAAGAGAAGUAACAAAAUUGAACUAUUAGAUUUUAUAAUAAUAAUGUAUACUUCUUCACCAAUUUUUUUUUUAUUAUCGUUUGGAUGAAAAUAUUCUACUGUACUGCAUAUUGAUUAUUUAAUUAUCACUCAUAAAACAAUUCUACUGUACUGCAUAUUGAAUAUGUCAUUUGAUUCUUUUUUUAUAAUGAUUUUUAAUCAGAUAAUCAAGUCUUUAUGAAUAAUAAAGAACAAAUAUGAAUCAU